CAAGAUUCGUUUUUUUUUUUAGUUGAAAAACUGCUCUUUUGUUUCUCUUUCCCUCAAAACCUACGCCGACGGUGCUGUGGAAAACUUACAUUAUUCGAAAUACAAAUCCAAAUUUGUCAUUGAAGAAUUCUUCUGAGAGAAUAUAUAUCAAAGUGUUUGGUUUUCAAUGGCGUGGAGGAAUUUGGUAUCAUGGUUUUCUCUUCAGAAUUUCAGAGGUUUGUUUCAGGAAGGCAGAAUGAGGGAGGUGGAUCUCGGAGCACACACCAUUAGAUCUCAUGGAGCCAAACUUGCAAGGAACCACAUGCACGACUGGCUUAUAUUACUCCUCCUUGUAGUGAUAGAGAUCAUUCUGUAUAUCAUCCAUCCAUUUUAUCGCUUUGUUGGAAAGGAUAUGAUGGAAGACCUUAAAUAUCCUUUCAAAGACAACACUGUGCCUACAUGGUCUGUGCCUUUGUAUGCAGUUUUGUUGCCCAUUGCCAUUUUUAUUUUCUUCUACAUUAGAAGGAAAGAUGUUUACGAUCUGCACCAUAGCAUUUUAGGCCUAUUGUUUUCUGUUUUGAUUACUGCUGUCAUCACGGAUGCCAUAAAGAAUGCAGUUGGUCGGCCCCGGCCUGAUUUCUUCUGGCGUUGCUUUCCUGAUGGAAAGGAAUUCUAUGAUCGGUGGGGAGAUGUGAUAUGUCAUGGUAAGGAUAGUGAUAUAAAAGAAGGACAUAAGAGUUUCCCAAGUGGUCAUACUUCAUGUAAGCACAAAAGCUAUAUAUUCUUUUUCCCCAUAUGGGCAAAAUUAUGCAGAAGCUGAUAAAAAAAAUUGGAAGUUUGAGAUUCUCCUAUUGCUGCUUUGAUCAACAAUUCUCAACUUCUAAAGAUUUUUCGUUUCAAAUUCUUUUAUAGUAUCAAAUGAUCUGAAGCAAUUGAGGAUUUCUGUGCAGGGUCAUUUGCUGGCUUAGGAUAUUUGUCAUUGUACUUAUCUGGCAAAAUCAAAGUAUUUGAUCGCAGAGGGCAUGUGGCAAAAUUAUGCAUCAUUUUUUUGCCCCUACUUGCUGCAUCUCUUGUUGGCAUAUCUCGGGUCGACGACUACUGGCACCAUUGGCAGGAUGUGUUUGCUGGAGCUCUAAUAGGGCUCGUUGUUUCAGCUUUUUGCUAUAUGCAGUUUUUCCCAGCCCCAUAUAGUGAAGAAGGAUGGGGACCUUACGCAUAUUUCCAAGCUUUGGAGGAGUCACGUUCUAAUACAAAUGGUGGGCAGACUGCAAAUGCACUGAAUAUGCAGGCCAUGGAUGUACAAGUGGUGAGCUUAGAACUCCGGCAAAUUGGCAAUGGAUUUAGGUUGUUGGAUGAAUUGGAAUCAGGAAGGAGGUGAACUUGUAUAUUUUGUAUUUUGUUUUACUUCAGAUUAUUAUGUACAUAUACAUUAUAAAUUGUGGAAGUUUUUACCUUUUGGGAGCCGAGAAACAUUAGAAAUUUG
This 1462-nucleotide unclassified non-coding RNA is filed under the name Hevea brasiliensis (rubber tree). The record is from RNAcentral. Lineage: Eukaryota; Viridiplantae; Streptophyta; Magnoliopsida; Malpighiales; Euphorbiaceae.